Molecule: non-coding RNA, 947 nt
Organism: Thamnophis sirtalis
Lineage: Eukaryota; Metazoa; Chordata; Lepidosauria; Squamata; Natricidae
Source: RefSeq, a predicted model, not a curated record
GCCAACAGGCGAUGGCUCGCAUGCCAUUUCCGGCACGUGUGCCAUAGGUUUGCCAUCAUGGUUUUAGAGUUUAACUCCUAGAUAACCAAAGAAAAGUUUCUUCAUUUGCUACGAAGUCACUUUUCUAAGAGAGUUUCUAUGACCCUGGGUCAUUGAUUUUUUUUUGAAGAUCAUUGAUUUUCACCCACCAGCAAAUUAUAGUUAGAUAUUGGAACAACAUCUCUACAUGACAACCAGAGUUUCUGGGAUCCUCUGCAUUCCUCUUUACUGUGAAUUCUAUACAGAGCCAAGAAGUCCGAAGCCAGGAUUCUUGGCUUCCUUUUUUUGGGAAGGCGGAACCUGAAUAUACCAUGCAGCUUUGUUUACAAGUAAAGCCUUUGAUAUCGUUUCGAGGCACAAGGAGGCAGCAGAAGACUCCUGAUGCUAUCACAUAUAGACCAGGAAGAAGGUGGCUUCGGGAAGGCAACGUUGGACUUGAUGAAUAGUAGUAUCAAUAAAAUCCUCCUGCCUUUAGCUGAAACAAACCAAUUCCUGUGUUUAGUUCUUGAUGUGAAAUGGCACCUCAGACUGGAACUCUGGAAUAUUGUGCUAUAGAGAGAGGUUCAUGUAGAAAAGCCCAGUGUCUCAAAGAAGAAGAGUUGAAAUGCAGCCUUCCAACAUGUUUUUCUUUUUUGCCAAAGGUGUAAAAAUUUGAAAAUGUCUAAAAUAGUUGGGUUUGGGGAAAAAAGGAUACAUUGCACUUUAGUAGUGCAGAAGCUUAGUUUACAAUGCACUGAUGAAAGACAGUUUUAGGUACUAUUAACUUUUGUUUUUUUUUAAUCUUGUGUUUUGAUGCUUGCUAUUGGGGAAAAAAAAUGUGUCUGUGAUGUGUGAGAAUAUGUGGGAAAUACAGAAUACCUUCUGAAAUGUAGUUCCUAAAAUACAGCUACUGUUGAAUGACACAAAUA